Molecule: ribosomal RNA, 296 nt
Filed under: uncultured bacterium
Lineage: Bacteria
Description: partial 16S ribosomal RNA
Rfam family: Bacterial small subunit ribosomal RNA
Source: RNAcentral
AUUGGAGCGGCCGAUAUCAGAUUAGCUAGUUGGUGGGGUAAAGGCUCACCAAGGCGACGAUCCUUAGCUGGUCUGAGAGGAUGAUUCAGCCACACUGGGACUGAGACACGGCCCAGACUCCUACGGGAGGCAGCAGUGGGGAAUAUUGGACAAUGGGCGAAAGCCUGAUCCAGCAAUGCCGCGUGAGUGAUGAAGGCCUUCGGGUUGUAAACUGCUUUUGUACGGAACGAAACGGUCCUGGUUAAUACCUGGGGCUAAUGACGGUACCGUAAGAAUAAGCACCGGCUAACUACGUG